UGGGGAAUCUUCCGCAAUGGACGAAAGUCUGACGGAGCAACGCCGCGUGUAUGAUGAAGGUCUUCGGAUUGUAAAGUACUGUCAUUGGGGAAGAACGGUUUUCUUGAAAAGAUUGAGAAGACAUGACGGUACCCAAGGAGGAAGCCCCGGCUAACUACGUGCCAGCAGCCGCGGUAAUACGUAGGGGGCAAGCGUUGUCCGGAAUUAUUGGGCGUAAAGGGCGCGUAGGCGGGCCUUUAAGUCCGGUGUGAAAGAUCAGGGCUCAACCCUGAGAGUGCAUCGGAAACUGGAGGCCUUGAGGACAGGAGAGGAAAGUGGAAUUCCACGUGUAGCGGUGAAAUGCGUAGAUAUGUGGAGGAACACCAGUGGCGAAGGCGACUUUCUGGACUGUAACUGACGCUGAGGCGCGAAAGCGUGGGGAGCAAACAGGAUUAGAUACCCUGGUAGUCCACGCCGUAAACGAUGAGUGCUAGGUGUAGAGGGUAUCGACCCCUUCUGUGCCGCAGUUAACACAAUAAGCACUCCCGCCUGGGGAGUACGGCCGCAAGGUUGAAACUUAAAUGAAUUGACGGGGUCAUAGCUGUUUCCU
RNAcentral lists this ribosomal RNA (589 nucleotides) under uncultured bacterium. RNAcentral describes it as "partial 16S ribosomal RNA". It matches the Rfam family "Bacterial small subunit ribosomal RNA", at positions 355 to 1375 of the family's 1533-position model. The record is from RNAcentral.